GACGAACGCUGGCGGCGUGCUUAACACAUGCAAGUCGAACGGAAAGGCCCUGCUUUUGUGGGGUGCUCGAGUGGCGAACGGGUGAGUAACACGUGAGUAACCUGCCCUUGACUUUGGGAUAACUUCAGGAAACUGGGGCUAAUACCGGAUAGGAGCUCCUGCUGCAUGGUGGGGGUUGGAAAGUUUCGGCGGUUGGGGAUGGACUCGCGGCUUAUCAGCUUGUUGGUGGGGUAGUGGCUUACCAAGGCCUUGACGGGUAGCCGGCCUGAGAGGGUGACCGGCCACAUUGGGACUGAGGUACGGCCCAGACUCCUACGGGAGGCAGCAGUGGGGAAUAUUGCACAAUGGGCGGAAGCCUGAUGCAGCAACGCCGCGUGCGGGAUGACGGCCUUCGGGUUGUAAACCGCUUUCGCCUGUGACGAAGCGUGAGUGACGGUAAUGGGUAAAGAAGCACCGGCUAACUACGUG
Molecule: ribosomal RNA, 468 nt
Filed under: uncultured bacterium
Lineage: Bacteria
Description: partial 16S ribosomal RNA
Rfam family: Bacterial small subunit ribosomal RNA
Source: RNAcentral